This is a long non-coding RNA of Pygocentrus nattereri (red-bellied piranha), 466 nucleotides long. RefSeq lists it as uncharacterized. The transcript has 4 exons. NCBI's taxonomy places the organism in Eukaryota, Metazoa, Chordata, Actinopteri, Characiformes, Serrasalmidae. The record is from RefSeq and is a predicted model, not a curated record.
UCUACUUUACAUCACUCCAGCACCACUGUCUUCUGCUGAGACACUAGCCAUGCGUAUCCUUCCUCAGCUGUUAGAGGUCAAACUGUAAAAGGGGAACGGAAGGUUGAGGCAACUGGGUAAGACAGAUAACCUAAGAUCAGAGCAUGCAGAAUUUGAACGUCCCUUACUGGAAAGACAAUGCAAAGUCUCAAAAACAGGAAAUGAGAGUGCUGCUGGGCCAGUGUCACUUUGGACAAGUCUUCAUAUCCGGAGGGUGCAGAAAGAGACUGCCAGCUCUGUGGCCAGAGUAGACAAUUCAUAAUUCACAGUAGAAAAGUCAUAAUUAACAUGAAAUGGAUAUGAUCAUCAGAGUGUGACAGCUUCUCCAGAUCGUUGUGCUUCAUCCUCAGAAGAGUGAUCUCCUCCUCCAUUCGGUCCAGGUGUCUCACUGACUGGGUCAUCAGAGCUGCCUCCUGAGCUCUAAUCA